This 11169-nucleotide long non-coding RNA is filed under the name Linum usitatissimum (flax). RNAcentral describes it as "long non-coding RNA (LUSI_LNC006886)". Lineage: Eukaryota; Viridiplantae; Streptophyta; Magnoliopsida; Malpighiales; Linaceae. The record is from RNAcentral.
UCCUAUUAACCCGGCAACAGUCCCAUAACCGCCCCCACUUCCAGCACCAUGACCAGCACCAUAUCCCGAACCAGAAACAUGACCAACGAUCCCCUCGUCAAAUGUGAAAAGGGCUCUAGCGGCUGAGGCAAUCCCCAAACCCACAAAAAGAAAGAAGAAUGUUCCUCGGAGCCAUGUAUAUGUUGUUACAGUUUAAAGAGUUGCUUGGGUUUGGAGAUUGGUGGAAGGAGAAGUAGUGGCUAUUUAUAGGCAUUGGAUUGAAGUUCCAACUAUUGGUGGAGUGGUUGAGGCACAUGGCGACAGUGCAAAGGCAACUAAGGUCGUCGUCUGCACCAACAGUAUACCACAGUCCACCACUACCAAGGGGAAGUGAAAGUGACUAGUGUUCAUUCGCUGUCUUCCAUUUUCUGUAGACACCGUAGGAUAUGGCAUGAUUAACCCAGGAGAGUUCUUUUGAUGUUGCUUGGGGGUCUUGUUUUGGAUCAUUAACCCAGAAGUGAAAUAAAACUGAAGAGGGACUAGAUAUGUAAUUCCAUGGACACUCUUCUUUCAGAACAACAUUAAAGCAACAAAUUACAAACUGUAUAUUGUUAGCCAAUAAAUAAAAAACAAGUUCCUACCCCCUGACUGACUUUUCACAAAGAUACAAAGAAGAACGCAAAAAGGAAAAUAAAUGGAAAGUAAAUAAGAAAACCUCUCAUGAGCCAGGCUCUGCUUGAGAAAUACAUUGUUUUCUUCCUCUACUCUGCUCACUUCACUUACAGGUACAAAUGGCAUUCUCCGAAUUUCAUCAUCAAUUUAAAAACUUGUGCAUUGGGGGGCAGGAAACAUUAGUUCGGAACAUUCAAGGAUAGCGCCACGGAUUGGUAAAUCCCGACUAGCUCAGGGUGCAGUGGACCCUUGACUCUGAACAAGAUGAAACGUUAGUUAGAAUGGGGACGACGAUGUUCGCCUAAGCUGAUACCUGGGUUCAGGUGCUGCUGGUGCACUUGGCAAUGUGUUCUCCAGCUCCUGCAAAUCCGCAUUUGAAUGACCAACAAUACUUUAAAAAGGUAGUUUCAAAAGCAAAUAACUUAGGGGAAACAUUUCAAAUGCAGACUAUAGCAAAGCAUCCACCAGGAUUUGAAGACUUAACAAGUUCGAAGAACAAAUCAAAGAGUGCCCGUCAUUGAUAACUAUUUUGACGUCAUCAAUAUUGAACACUGAUGCUACUAAAGCUAAUAAGGAAACGAUUGGUGCUCUCGAAGAAUUAGCCUUAGCCUAGCUAAUAAGGAUUGUAUUCAUAACCAUGUCUGCACAAGGUUUUUCUGUUUUUGGUAACAAGUAAACGGACAUUUUAUUUUUCAUGACAUUUUGAUAUCAAUGCAAGUUUUCUGCACACAGCCAAGAAACAAACUUUUCAGUUACCAUGAACUCAACAAAAGUUCAUGAAUGAAAAUCAAUUAAGAAGGAAUGAUAUUAAGUAGAAUUCCUGUGAUGAGUGUAGCUAGAAAUGAGACAAUCGGAAGUCAGUUGAAGGAGAUCCAUAAGUCUUAGAAACCACUCACAUAUUCCAAGUUCUUAUAUUCCUCAAGCAAAUUACAAAGAUUAUUCACUAAAUGUAUGUUCUAAUCCCCUCAUCAAUAAUCACCUAAAUCACCUAAAGUCAAGCAAAAUGAAGCAGGACAGAAUUUGAAUGCAAACUGACCUUUAGUUUCCUCAGCCUUUCAUUUUCCUCUUCCAGGCGAGAAAUUUUAUUCUCUAGCUCAUUUGUGUAUGCCUGAAUUGCCGAUUAAGCUAUGUCAACAUGAGAUAACUUAUAAAGCACGAUAAUCCACUCGAAAGAUUCAAACAAGCAAAACAAACCUGUUUCCGAGCUCUUGAUCGGGCAGCUGAUUCUCGGUUUUUUAUCAUCCUCUUCUGCCUCCUUUCAACAUUCUUCACAACUACUUCAUCGGGUGCAACUCUUUUCCUGGAAGUCAUUUGUGAAUCCAACAAUGUCCCAAUUAGAGGUGGUGGAGCUAUCGGAACUGGAUUCUCCGGAUAUGCAACAUCCAUCACAGAACCAGCCCCCAUAUGGACUUGCUGAGGCACAGGCUGGCCUGGCAUAAACAUCCCCAUCACAUUAGGCUGUGGAUGUUGGAACUGUGCAUGCGGAUACUGCAACCAUUGGCCAUGUUCAGGAAACCGUUGUGCUGCAUUUGCAUCAGAACCGGCAAUAGCAACAUCUCUAUUAUUAUUAUCAUCGAUAGGUUCCUCACCAACAACUCCUGCCUUGGCAAGGAAAUCCUCCAAUGUCAUCUCCCCCAAAGUGGGUUGUCUAUCUUUAGACUUCCUCUCUCCAUUAUUUUUGCUUUGUUGAAUGUCUCUCCAAACCUCAUCGACUGUCUUUUUGCUCAAAGCACCAGCUAUUGACAAGCUUCCCUGCCGCGGCAAGGAUGUUCGACUAUCUGCCAUCUGAGUGUUUUUGGCCUCUGCCUAUUGACAAGCUUCCCUGGCGUGGUAAGGAUGUUUGAUUAUCAGCCAUCUGAGUGUUUUCAGCCUCUGCACCCGUAACAUGGUUCGCUUCAGCUGUCCAUACAUUUCUAAGAAGUUCGUCCAGAUUCAUGCUACUGAAGGGUUUCCCCAAGUCACCCAACUGAUUUUGAACCUCAUCCAGAGUGAGGUUAUACAAUGAGUUCUGCCGGCCCAACAGCUGCAAAUGAGACUGGUUGCCGUUACCCCUACCAUCACCAUUAGAUCCCAUUAUCUAUAUCCCCAUUCAACAGUUUAAACUCAUUCCAGGCCGACCAUUUGUAAACUCAGCAGAAGCCAACCAAGAACUCUUCUUACAGCUGCUCUCCUCAAAUUCAACUCACAACCAACAAAUAAAACCUGAAACACCCAAUUAAUAAGUCACAACUAAAUGCACAGACUAUAUUUUUGGACUCUUCUAGCUACUCAAGAACAUUGCAUGACUGGUAAAACCGAUUAACUCCACAAGGAAUCUUAAUUGAUCUCCUGAUGUAGGAAGAACUAACUAGCAAACAAUCAUAAGUCAUAACCUUGAAAGGGUUGUAUUAGGGCCAGAUAGAUUCAGACUAGAAAAUAGAUUAUUACCAUCUGCAAACGAGACAGUUCAAAGAGGAUCAUCCACCUAAGAAUCUCUACUUAUAAUACCAUAAACAAACGGAAGAGCCAAAAACAAAACGAUUCCUUUAUUAUAUAAAUCCAACCGGCCUCACAACUUGAUACUCCAGCCGUAAACUGAAUAGGACACAGGAAACAAAACAAACAAUAGACAAAUUCAGCCUCACAAUCACAGAGAAUGGGGAGAACAUCGAUCACAAGAGACGGACAGCAAGAGGGGUGUGGUGGUGGGGGUGGGGGAAGGGGAAGAAAGAAGGCAAUGUUACCACCCCGACGGUGCAUUACUGGAAAAUGUAACAUGCAAAACGGCAGAGUAGGUAAAAACACUAGUGUCUCCAUUGACAACUAAAAAGCUUGAGGCUUUAUACCCCAAAUCCACCAUUAGCUCACUCAAUCAACAAAAUCUCAAGAGUACCCCCCACAUGAAUUAGAAAAGCAAAAGGGAACGUUUUGCAUGGAACAGCAGAGAAAGGAAUUGGUGCCGUCGGAGACUGCAACAACCGGAAGAACAACAAAACCUAAGAGAAGAAUGAUCACUGCACGAAAACCAAGAACAGUAAUGGACACGCUAUCCCUUUCUUCACACACAGUGCUUGGAACCCGAAAUAGAGUGAUGGCUUUGAAAGUAAUCCAAACCCAAGGUGAUGGAGAAGUAAGGGGAGGGGGGGGGGGGGGGGGGGGGGGGGGAAGAAGUUUACCCCGUUUGUGAUCUGAGCCUGUUGCGUUGGAAAAGCAUAGCGAAGAAGGAAGAAACUUCGGGAUUCGAGUUUCCUCUGUUUUCGGUUUUCCAGUGUGGGUUUGUAGAGAGGGGUUUGGAUUCAGGUGUGGAGGAGAAGGGGAGGAAGUCUGCAGUUCGUUCAUGUAUUCAUUCAAUCACACACCAACAGGAAGAGAAUCAAACCAAGGAAAUAAGAACGGUAAGGGGAAAAUAUUAAUUUUUUUUAAAUCUAAAUAAUAUAUUAAAUAUAAAAAAGUGACAUAAUAAAAUACUUCCUCGAAUAUCGCAUUUAAUUCCCAAGAGACAAAGCUUGAUGUGAAAAAGUACAAUUAUAAAAAAGUAUUAUUUCUGGCAAAAACUAUAAUAGACUUUUAAAAUAUAAAAUAAUGCAUUUUUGCAAAGAUAAAAGAGGCUAAAGACAUCACAAUUACAAGAUGAUAGACCACAAUUUUGACAAUGUGAACAAAAUUUAGUCGGAUUAAGACAAUUAGAUAGAGAGCGGUCAAAGUUAAGUAUUUAUUAAGAGCGUAUGGAUUAUUAUCAACGAAUUUAAAAAAUAUUUAAGAAUUAAAAUUUAGUUAGAUGGUCCAACGAGAAGACGAUUAGAUAAAAAACGAUCAAUGAGAACUACCAACAACACUUAUAUGGUUCGUGGGUCGCGGGUUUCACGGUUUACCCGGCUAGGUAUUAAUUAUUUAUUUUCACGGUCCCCUUGUCGUUCUUUUUCCUUUUGUCUCGAUUCUAUUUCUGCUCCUGCUGCUGCCUGAGUGAUUGAAUGAAUACAUAAACGCGAACUUGCAGAGUGCUCUUCUCUGACUUCUUCACCUGAAUCAAAACCCUCUCUUUCAAACCCACUCUGAAAAUCCUAAAACCAGAUAAACAGGCAAAACCUUGAAUCCAAAAUUUCUUCCUCGUCGUUGAUGCUUCGCCAUCGCAACAGGCGCAGAUCACAACCGGGUAAACUUCUCUUUCACAUUCGCGGUUUUCGAUUCUCUCAAAACCAUCACUGUAUUUCGGGUUCCAAGCACUGGGAAGGAGGGAGAGUGUUGUCCAUUACUGUUCUCGGUGUGUGCAGUGAUCAUUCUUCUCUUAGGUUUUCGAUUGUUGCAGUCUCCGAGGUCACCGAUUUCUUCCCGGUGUUCCAUGCAAAGUUCCCUUUGCUUUCCUAAUUCAUGUGGGUACUCUCUGGAUUUCGUGAUUUAGUGAGUUAAUGACGGAUUUGGGGUAUAAAGCCGCGAGCUUUGUAGUUCUUAAUGGAAACAGUAGUGUUCUAGCUACUCUGGGUUUUGCAUGUUAGAUUUUCCAGUUAUGAACCGUUGGGGUAGUAACAUUUCCUUCUUCUCUCUUUCUUGUGACAAAUGUCUUUGCCUUCAUCGUGUUUGUGGGUUUGAAUUUGUCGAUUGUUUGUUUUGUUUUCUGUGUCCUAUUCAGUUUAUGGUUGGGGUGUCAACUGUCAAGUUGUGAUGGCCGGUCGGGUUUAUAUAAUAAAGACGCUCUCUGAGUCUUCCUUUUGAUUCGGCUCUUCCCUUUGUUUUAUAAGUAGAGAUGUUAGGUGGAUCCUCUUUAAACUGUCUAGGCUGCAGAUCGUAAUAUUCUCUAAUCUAGUCUCAAUCAGGUGUGAAUCUUUCUGGCCCUAAUGAUUCUUUGUUGGUUAGUUCUUUCUACCUCGUCUAUCUGAUGCAUUGUCAGGAGAUCCGUUAGAAUUCCCUGUGGAGUUCAUAGGUUUUACUAGCGAUUGUUUGGAAAAAAGCAAUGAUCUUGCGUAGCUAUUAGAAGGUUCAGCAAUAUAGUUUCUGCAUUUAGAUUUCUGACUUCUUAAUUGGGCGUUUCAGGUUUUAAUUGUUGGUUGUAAGUUGAAUUUGGGGAAAGCAGCUGUAAGAAGAGGUUUGGUUCAGCUAAGGCCUCUGUUGAGUUUACGAAUGGUCGGCCUGGAAUGAGUUUAAACUGUUGAAUGAGGAUAUAGAUAAUGGGUUCCAAUGGUGAUGGUAGGAGUAGCGGCAAUCUGUCUCAUUUGCAGCCUUUGGGCCGGCAGAACUCAUUGUACAACCUCACUCUGGAUGAGGUUCAAAAUCAGUUGGGUGACUUGGGGAAACCCUUCAGUAGCAUGAAUCUGGACGAACUUCUUAGAAAUGUAUGGACAGCUGAGGCUAACCAUGUUACGGGUGCAGAGGCCGAAAACACUCAGAUGGCCGAUAGUCAAACAUCCUUGCCGCGGCAGGGAAGCUUGUCAAUAGCUGGUGCUUUGAGCAAAAAGACAGUCGAUGAGGUUUGGAGAGACAUUCAACAAAGCAAAAAUAAUGGGGAGAGGAAGUCUAAAGAUAGACAACCCACUUUGGGGGAGAUGACAUUGGAGGAUUUCCUUGCCAAGGCAGGAGUUGUUGGUGAGGAACCUAUCGAUGAUAAUAAUAAUAGAGAUGUUGCUAUUGCCGGUUCUGAUGCAAAUGCAGCACAACGGUUUCCUCAACAUGGCCAAUGGUUACAGUAUCCGCAUGCACAGUUCCAGCAUCCACAGCCUAAUGUGAUGGGGAUGUUUAUGCCAGGCCAGCCUGAGCCUCAGCAAGUCCAUAUGGGGGCUGGUUCUGUGAUGGAUGUUGCAUACCCGGAGAAUCCAGUUCCGAUAGCUCCACCACCUCUAAUUGGGACAUUGUCGGAUUCACAAAUGGCUUCCAGGAAACGAGGUGCACCCGAUGAAGUAGUUGUGAAGAAUGUUGAAAGGAGGCAGAAGAGGAUGAUAAAAAACCGAGAAUCAGCUGCCCGAUCAAGAGCUCGGAAACAGGUUUGUUUUGCUUGUUUGAAUCUUUCAAGCGGAUUAUGGUGAUUUAUGCAUUCUAUUUCUCUGCUUCUUGAACCCAUAGUCAUCUCAUUUUGUCAUGAUUUUGUCGGCAAUUCAGGCAUACACAAAUGAGCUAGAGAACAAAAUUUCUCGCCUGGAAGAGGAAAAUGAAAGGCUGAGAAAAUUAAAGGUUAGUUUGCUUCAUUUUGCUCGACUUUCUCGUGUUUUUGGUGCAUUGUCAAUCUAAAGCUCAAGUAGAGGCAUCUGAUUGCCGUUGCCCUUAUCUUGUUGAUUUGCAGAGAUCAGCUCAAGUGUUUAAUGCUUUUCAGAUAUGUGUACAAUACAUUAUUAUCAUCUUUGUGAUUUAGCGGAUUUUUCUUGAGGGGACUAAAAGAGAAUUUGAGUGAAUUAUCUUUCUCGAGGAACAUGAGAGCGUAGAAUCUGUGACAGGUUUCUAAGCCUUUCAGUUACCAUGAACCCACGAGAUGAGGCCUAAAAUGGUAUACUGUCUAACCCAUAGUAACUGAAAAAGUUCGUUUCUUGGUUGUGUUCUUGGACUAUAUAUAGGAAACUUAAGUUGAUAUAAAACUUCAUGAAGAAAAACAAAUGUCGAUUUACUUAUUACCAAACCUUAUGCAUACAUGGUUAUUAGUUAGGCUAAGGUUAUGGAUAGUCUUUGUCCGCACGCAACUGGUUGAAGGUUGUUAUUCCACAGCCAAUUGCUGUGGUUUGUGUUUGUUUAAUGACCCGUCAUUUGGAGAAUUAUUCAGUCUUCUAUGGUCUAAAAGAGGGUCGAUGUGAGCGAUAAUGAAAGAAUUGAGUCUUUGUUUCAGAAUUGCAGGACUUUGCAUGCAUUUAAGGCUCUGCAUUUUGUUGACAUGCACUCUUUGCUUUGUUCUUCGCACUUGUUUAGACUGCAAAUCCUGGGUUCAUGCAGUCAUCUUCAGUUAUUUGCUUAUGAAACUAUCUUUUUAAAGUAUUUUUUGGUCAUCCAAAUACGCAAUUGCAGGAGCUGGAGAACAUAUUGCCAAGUGCACCAGCAGCACCUGAACCCAGGUAUCAGCUUCGGCGAACGUCGUCAUCACCAUUCUAACUAACGUUUCAUCCUGUUCAGAGUCAACGGUCCACUGCUCUCUGAGCUAGUCAGGAUCUACCAAUCCGUGGCGCCGAAUUAAUGCUUCAUCGUCCCCCCUGCACAAGUAUUUUCCAUUGAUGAUGAAAUAUGUAGAAAGUCAUUUGUGCUUGUAAGUGAAAUGAGCAGAGUAGACGAUGGAAAUCGUUCAAGUUAUUAGAUAAAGUAAGAACAAUUUGUGUCUCAACUCAAGCAGAGCAUUUCUUUUUUCGUUUUCUGGCUUCUUUGUAUCUUUGUGAAAAGUCAGGGGCGUUGGGAAGUUGAAUAGCUCCAGAGAUACAGAUUUGUAACUUGUUAUUUUUCGUUUUGGCUAACAAUAUACAGUUUGUAAUUUGUUGCGUUAAUGUGUCCUGAAACACAAGAAGCAAGGGGUUACAUAUAUGGUCUUGUUCAAGUUUAUUAAACUUAUGGCUUAACGAGUCUGGUUUUUUACUGCAAGUGCAUUCAAACCGACAAAGUCGCAUGAAGGAAACCGAAGUGUGAAAAGGGUUUAAGAAUGUCGGCGAUCCCAUGUGGAGUUGAGGCAAGUUGUAGUGGUAGAGGUGGAAACAUGCACACUCCCCCAUCAUGGAUAACAGUUGUGUUUAGGUUUCGCUAUUUUAUUCGUAUUUGUGGGUAUUCGACUUUAUUCGAUUCGAUCGAAAUAGAAAAUACUCGUAUUGAAUGGGUUACGGGUGAGUAUAGGAAUACCUGUUAAAAACGAGCGAGGACAGGUUAGAGAUGGGUUUAGGUACCCAUCCCAUUAUUCAUACCCAAUUUAAUAUGUAAAAUUAACCUACAGCCCUUAUUUAACAGUUACCAAACUAACACUAAGUCUAGAAUCUCUAAUUCUAUGUCCAAUUCAGAGCGGUUCUCCAUUCUCCACGAUCACGAUUCCACAAAUUUACUUUCGGAGUCACCCUGACGAUAUGUGAUAGUCUUAUUUUUGAAAAACUUAAUUAAGUUGUGAGGGCAUGGGGAUACCUACAUGAAUUCGAAAUCCACAGAUUUAGGGAUGUGUACGAAUACUGAGAUUCGAAUGGGGAUGGAGACGGGUAUUGGUACCCGCACCCCAUUGCCAAACCUAGUUAUGUUCUGUUUAUGGUCUGUGUGACAGCAGAUGAAAUGUAGAAUAGAAUUUGAACGAGAAUCAAAAAAUUAAUUUCCAAAAUACAUUUUAUUAAAAUUUAAGUUUUCAUACUUAAAUUGGUAAAAUGCUCGAGAUUCCAUUAUCUUAUUUACUGCUUCUCUCGUACAAGUGUGAGCUCGCCAGUUCAGUAAGCAACAGCGUCAGUUUAAUUGGUGAAAACUCGCAAAUUUAUAAAUGAAUAUAUAUUUUGCAUUAGGGGAUCAUGUGUGGUUCUAUCAAACACGAGUCAGCUUUUCAGCAUUGCUCAUGCAAUAUGGAUUUUUUCAAAACUGUACCAGUCAUUCUGGUUAGAUUUGACAAUCCGCUCAAAGUUAGGGUUAGAUUCAGAAAAUUGAAAAAAAUUAACCGUAUGCAGAUUAAUUGAAGCAUUGGUAAAAGAUUGACUAGUGAUCUAUCACACAAAAAAAUGUAUGGUUUUAAUGAUCAAGUGACAAUGAGCACAACCAAAGAAACCCUUGGACUUAAUUAUUCUAAGUUUCCAAACUGAAGAAACUGAUUAAUCAUACAAGUCGAAACAAAACUACGUAUAAAUAAGUUAGGUUUUAGGUGUGGUAUCCAUCCAAAUUGAUUAUACAUUUGCAGCAGCAGCAGCAGCAGCAGCAGUAGUAGUAGUAGAGAAAUUGGAAGACAGCAAAUGAACACUUAAUUAGUUAGUGGAAGACUGUUGGUGUUGCUCUCUGAGUAUGCACUGAUAUGUUGCCUUAGAGACCUUUGUUCAUGCGCAAUCCAUCCAUCAUUCCCUUUGCACUUUUUGCCAUGUGCCUCAACCACUCCACCAAUAGCUAACUCUGGGGUUGGAACUUCAAUCCAAUGCCUAUAAAUAGCCACUACUUCUCCUUCCACCAAUCUCCAAACCCAAGCAACUCUAUAAACAGUAACAACAUAUACAUGGCUAGUUACAAGCUCCGAGGAGCAUUCUUCUUUCUUUUUGUGGGUUUGGGGAUCGCCUCAGCUGCUAGAGCCCUUUUCACGUUUGAUGAGGGGAUAGUCGGUCAUGUUUCCGGUUCGGGAUAUGGUGCUGGUCAUGGUGGUGGAAGUGGGGGUGGUUAUGGAAAUGUUGCCGGGUUAAUAGGAGGAGGAGGUGGUGGUGGUUCUGGAGGUGGAGGUGACGGUGGAGGUGCUGCUGGUGAGAGGAGGAGGUGACCAUGGUGCUGGUGCUGGUGCUGGGUAUGGAAGUGGUGGUGGUGAGGGUGCUGGCGGCGCUUAUGCUGGAGGUGGUGCACAUGCUGGGGGAGGCGGCGGAGGAAGUGGAGGUGGCGGUGGAGGAGGUGCUGGUGGUGGUGCUGGAGGACAUGAAGGUGGAUAUGGAGGUGGUGAAGGUGGGGGUCAAGGAGGCGGAGCUGGAGGAGCUGCUGGGGGCUAUGGUGGGGGGGGUGGACAAGGGGGGGGCGGGGGGGGAGGGANNNNNNNNNNNNNNNNNNNNNNNNNNNNNNNNNNNNNNNNNNNNNNNNNNNNNNNNNNNNNNNNNNNNNNNNNNNNNNNNNNNNNNNNNNNNNNNNNNNNNNNNNNNNNNNNNNNNNNNNNNNNNNNNNAGUGGUUGGGGGGAGGCGGCGGGGGUAGGGAGACAGGGGGCGGAGGAGGAGGCGGUGGCGGUUAUUAAUCAUAAAGGGAUAUGUACGUACCAUCUCGAUAAAAAAAAUCAGAUGGUUGAUUAAAAUGUGCGAUGUGAGAGGACAAUGACGUCGUAAAAUCUUAAUUUAUAUGUAUGCCAAAAUAAGAUUAUGAAUAUAAAGCAAGAAAAUGAUUAAUGAUCACAUAAAUAGGGGAAAAUAUAUUAUAAAUAUUUGGAUUAAUACAUAAAUUUAGUCAAACAUAUUAAAAUAUAAUUAAAACUAUUCUAACUUAUUAAUAAUCCGAGAUUAAUUAGCCAAAUGUACCUUUUUUGGGUAAAAAGAUGGAAUUAAUUAGCCAAAUAUACUACUCCAUUUGAAAGAAGAUGAUGAGCUCCAAGGUUUGUGUUUACCCUUCUCUGCCUUGGUUUCCUCCUCUCCAGUACUACUACUGCGAUGUCAGUAGAUGAGACAAAAAACAUGGGUACAUGUAGAUUACAUUGGGUUAGGUUUAGGGAGGAUUUGGGUUAGUAUGAAGCUGAAUUGCAUUUAUUUUUUUUGUCAAGCUUACACUCCAUAUGAUUUCCUAUGGAAAAACAAACAUUUAUAGAUGGAGGUGAUUAUUGGUAUAAAAUGUCAAUUUUUGUGUAUAUUUUGAUAGUUGAUUUAUUGGUCGACUAAUUUAAUUGAGAAUAAUUUUUGAAUUAAAAUUUUAUUUAUCUUCUAACAGUUAUUACAAAUUAAAAAGUAAAUAAUUCC